GAUGAAGAACGUAGCGAAAUGCGAUAAGUAAUGUGAAUUGCAGAAUUCAGUGAAUCAUCGAAUCUUUGAACGCACAUUGCGCCCCCUGGUAUUCCGGGGGGCAUGCCUGUUCGAGCGUCAUUUCACCACUCAAGCCUCGCUUGGUAUUGGGCAACGCGGUCCGCCGCGUGCCUCAAAUCGACCGGCUGGGUCUUCUGUCCCCUAAGCGUUGUGGAAACUUUCGCUAAAGGGUGUUCGGGAGGCUACGCCGUAAAACAACCCCAUUUCUAAGGUUGACCUCGGAUCAGGUAGGGAUACCCGCUGAACUUAAGCAUAUCAAUAGCGGAGGA
RNAcentral lists this unclassified non-coding RNA (329 nucleotides) under soil metagenome. Its description in RNAcentral is "partial contains 5.8S ribosomal RNA, internal transcribed spacer 2, and large subunit ribosomal RNA". The stretch from base 1 to 120 matches the Rfam family "5.8S ribosomal RNA", at positions 35 to 154 of the family's 154-position model. The record is from RNAcentral.